UCGGGAUAGCUCCGMAGUCGGUACACGCUACGAUUUGWCC
This 40-nucleotide transfer RNA is filed under the name Delonix elata. RNAcentral describes it as "partial tRNA-Phe". The record is from RNAcentral. Lineage: Eukaryota; Viridiplantae; Streptophyta; Magnoliopsida; Fabales; Fabaceae.